RNAcentral lists this ribosomal RNA (476 nucleotides) under uncultured bacterium. Its description in RNAcentral is "partial 16S ribosomal RNA". It matches the Rfam family "Bacterial small subunit ribosomal RNA", at positions 29 to 507 of the family's 1533-position model. The record is from RNAcentral.
AUGAACGCUGGCGGCGUGCCUAACACAUGCAAGUCGCACGAAGCACCUUACCUGAUUCUUCGGAUGAAAGUUUGGUGACUGAGUGGCGGACGGGUGAGUAACGCGUGGGUAACCUGCCCUGUACAGGGGGAUAACAGCUGGAAACGGCUGCUAAUACCGCAUAAGCGCACGAGGAGACAUCUCCUUGUGUGAAAAACUCCGGUGGUACAGGAUGGGCCCGCGUCUGAUUAGCUGGUUGGCAGGGUAACGGCCUACCAAGGCAACGAUCAGUAGCCGGUCUGAGAGGAUGAACGGCCACAUUGGAACUGAGACACGGUCCAAACUCCUACGGGAGGCAGCAGUGGGGAAUAUUGCACAAUGGGGGAAACCCUGAUGCAGCAACGCCGCGUGAGUGAAGAAGUAUUUCGGUAUGUAAAGCUCUAUCAGCAGGGAAGAUAAUGACGGUACCUGACUAAGAAGCGCCGGCUAAAUACGUG